GUACUAUAAAACUGCAUAGUUUAAUAGUUAAAAUUUCGGUGGUAUAAGAUGGGCAUGCGUAGGAUUAGGUAGUUGGUGAGGUAACAGCUCACCAAGCCGACGAUCCUUAGGGGUUCUGAGAGGAUUAUCCCCCACACUGGUACUGAGACACGGACCAGACUCCUACGGGAGGCAGCAGUGAGGAAUAUUGGUCAAUGGACGAGAGUCUGAACCAGCCAUCCCGCGUGCAGGAUGACGGCCCUAUGGGUUGUAAACUGCUUUUCUACGCCAAGAAACCCACCUACGUGUAGGUGGUUGACGGUAGCGUAGGAAUAAGCAUCGGCUAACUCCGUGCCAGCAGCCGCGGUAAUACGGAGGAUGCAAGCGUUAUCCGGAUUCAUUGGGUUUAAAGGGUGCGCAGGCGGGCUUGUAAGUCAGUGGUGAAAUACUGCCGCUUAACGGUAGAACCGCCAUUGAUACUGCAAGUCUUGAAUAUGGUUGAGGUAGGCGGAAUGUGUCGUGUAGCGGUGAAAUGCAUAGAUAUGACACAGAACGCCAAAUUGCGAAGGCAGCUUACUAAGCCAUUAUUGACGCUGAGGCACGAAAGCGUGGGGAGCGAACAGGAUUAGAUACCCUGGUAGUCCACGCCGUAAACGAUGUUCACUCGCUGUCUGCGAUACACAGUAGGCGGCUGAGCGAAAGCAUUAAGUGAACCACCUGGGGAGUACGAUCGCAAGGUUGAAACUCAAAGGAAUUGACGGGGGCCCGCACAAGCGGAGGAACAUGUGGUUUAAUUCGAUGAUACGCGAGGAACCUUACCUGGGCUUAAAUGUAGAUUGCAUAGAGUAGAAAUAUUCUUUCCCUUCGGGGCUAUUUACAAGGUGCUGCAUGGUUGUCGUCAGCUCGUGCCGUGAGGUGUCGGGUUAAGUCCCAUAACGAGCGCAACCCCUAUCGUUAGUUGCCAGCGGAUAAUGCCGGGGACUCUAGCGAUACUGCCACCGUAAGGUGAGAGGAAGGUGGGGAUGACGUCAAAUCAGCACGGCCCUUAUGUCCAGGGCUACACACGUGUUACAAUGGCAGGUACAAAGGGCAGCUACACAGCGAUGUGAUGCUAAUCUCUAAAGCCUGUCCCAGUUCGGAUUGGAGUCUGCAACCCGACUCCAUGAAGUUGGAUUCGCUAGUAAUCGGAUAUCAGCAAUGAUCCGGUGAAUACGUUCCCGGGCCUUGUAC
RNAcentral lists this ribosomal RNA (1209 nucleotides) under metagenome. RNAcentral describes it as "bacterial SSU rRNA". It matches the Rfam family "Bacterial small subunit ribosomal RNA", at positions 173 to 1386 of the family's 1533-position model. The record is from RNAcentral.